Long non-coding RNA from Rhododendron vialii, 890 nucleotides. RefSeq lists it as uncharacterized. The record is from RefSeq and is a predicted model, not a curated record. Lineage: Eukaryota; Viridiplantae; Streptophyta; Magnoliopsida; Ericales; Ericaceae. The transcript has 3 exons.
UAGGGAGAUUUCGGUUGGAUUACCUGCAGUUGAGCCUUGUGGUUUUACGAGACCAAAUACAAAUUCUGGGUCAUGUUUGUGGAGAGGCAGUGGGAGCACAUCCCUAUCUGUGGGCUUUGAAUUUGGGUGUCUUACAUACAAGGUUUUGGAAGGAUAGUGAUUCAGUUGAUCUGAGAUCAGCGGAAACAUGGUAGAACUCUUUUGAAGAGGGAAAUUGGUUUGCAUGGGGUUUGAACCUGGUGACCCAACAAAGCAUCCUCUAGCCUCGACCAUUGGGGGAAACAAGAAAUGGAGAUGAUUGUAAUGGUGGAGAAGAAUUCUUGAACAAAAAACUUCAGAUAUUUCCGACCAAGAAGUAUUGGAUUCUCUUUCGAAUGGACCCGGAAAGAAGAAGGAAGGCUGGAAUGUCAAUAGGCGUCUAUUAUUAAAUUCACCCCACCCUAGAGUACCCGUUUGGGGAAUGUCCAGGGCCGAAGUCAUUGAAUGGGUAAGUCACUGAUCCUUAAAACUAAAUUAUGUAAUGUACCCUGUAUGCUGGGUUACGACUUACGAGUAGGCAUUUUACCAGAUGUUUCUAAUUUAUCUUUGUGUGAUUCCUGUUGAAGCAUAUACUUACGGGUGGGUGUAGGGUGGACGGUUUUAAAGCAGACUCUCCUAGAGAAGAUCCCUGUUUUGAACAUGGUUGUCGUUCUCAAAUGACUCACCUUCAUUUCACUUGGCUGUUGCCAACGGAAUUUGUGCUUCAAAGCACUGAUUGGUUUGGGAAAAGCUUUUCUUUCUUUUCUUUUUUUGCUUUCUGGUAAUAAUUGCCGUCUAAGGUUAUGUCUGAAUAUUGAAUUUUUACGAUAUUAUACAAGUCAAUGUGACAUUGCUUCAUUUAGAAUCGAAAA